CCGAAUUUCCCCGAGUUCAGUUUGCUCACGUGGAGUCCCAGCCUGUAGCUGAAGAGAAAUCUUCCCGUGACUCCAGCCCACUUCUCGAUUCAGUUUAUGAAGAAAGAAAGGAUUCUUUCCAAAGCUGUGGGAUGUGGGACUGAUUCAGACUGUCCACAGACUAUUUGCCUCAUGUGGGAUCUGAGAGGAGAUCUUUGCAGAUAGUUUAAAUCUGAAGACUCUGGAGAGAGAAUGCCAGAGCCCAGAGAUUGUGGCAGAGCUCCGAGAAAGACCAAGGCUGCUGCUGCUCCCUGUGGCUCCUGGUUGCUGUGAAUGCAGUGAGACAAGAAGUUGGAGAUUUCCUAAAAUGAGGAUUGGACUGGCUCCAAGGAACCUGAUGACCCUAACCAGCACAAAGCACUGCCCCACGAGUUUCCCAGGACCACCUCUGAAACUGGUUUGAAUGAGAAUGUCUGCGUAGGUGCAGAUAGGUCGCUGCGUGGGAGGCUUACAGUGCUGCCUCACUUCCUGUUCUGUUUCACACUCCUGCCACCUGCCACCAUACCCACCACCACAAUGAUGGACUCCACACUCUAGAACCAAGAGCCACCUGCCACCAUACCCGCUGUCGGGAACCUUGAUCUGGCAGCUGCUUUGAUAUUAAAAUCUCAGCAGAAAGACUGCUUUUACCAGGCCUUCACUGAAGUCAGGGAAGAAUUUGCAAGUCCAUCUCCUUUUGUUUAUGACAGCAGGUGGGAUAGCUUGUGAAGAUCACACCUCUUGCUUCAACUCCUUGUGAAUUUAGCCCAUUGUUCUGAGCUGUUUUUACUCUGGCUUAAAAGCUUGCAGCAAUAAAAAAGUCAGGCUGCCUGCUACGGUGGCUGUCGACUCUGGAGCCUCUUUAAAAAGUCUCCUGUGUGUUGUGUGCUAGUUUAUUAAUUUUAAUCCUCACUCCCAACUCAAGAACCAUUCAGCUCUGCUGGCGGGCUCCGGCAACCCACCACCACAAUGAUGGACUCCACGCUCUAGAACCGAGAGCCAAAAGAGACUUCCCACGAUACCCACACCACAAUGACGGACUUGGCGCUCUAGAACCGAGAGCCAAAAGAGACUUCCUUAAUCAGCUGCCUCGGCUGUGGCAUUUUGCCGUAGCAGCAGAAAAGUGGCUAAUGCUGCCUCCCAUCUUGCACCGGGAGAACAGGUG
Meriones unguiculatus (Mongolian gerbil) is the source of this 1183-nucleotide long non-coding RNA. RefSeq lists it as uncharacterized. The transcript has 3 exons. The record is from RefSeq and is a predicted model, not a curated record. Lineage: Eukaryota; Metazoa; Chordata; Mammalia; Rodentia; Muridae.